RNAcentral lists this transfer RNA (59 nucleotides) under Stygobromus allegheniensis. RNAcentral describes it as "tRNA-Tyr". Lineage: Eukaryota; Metazoa; Arthropoda; Malacostraca; Amphipoda; Crangonyctidae. The record is from RNAcentral.
AACAGAAUGGCUGAGGUUAGGCGGUAAGCUGUAAACUUACAUACGUGAAUCUUCUGUUA